UUUGGGUGAUGAAACGUGUUAAAUUACUUAGCAUUACAUGAUGAUUUAUAAUGCUUAUUAUAUCGAUUGAAGAACUCACCCUUACAACUAUUUUUCAGGUAACGAGCAAUGAGUUGAGUAGAAGCUUAUGCUUGGAGUCUAGUGUAGUCUCCUAAGUGGGUCAUGCUCUGAUAGAUGUAACAUCGGGACGGGAUGUUUU
This 199-nucleotide long non-coding RNA is filed under the name Lathyrus oleraceus (garden pea). Its description in RNAcentral is "Pisum sativum (pea) long non-coding RNA (PSAT_LNC002640)". Lineage: Eukaryota; Viridiplantae; Streptophyta; Magnoliopsida; Fabales; Fabaceae. The record is from RNAcentral.